GCUAAUGCUAGGGUUCGGGACCCGGUUUAUGGUUGCGUCGGUGCCAUAUCAUCUUUGCAGCAACAAAUAGACUCACUGCAAGCCCAGUUGGCUCUAGCACAAGCUGAAGUGGUGCACAUGAGAAUGCGCCAAGUCUCACCUUCAUCAUCAUCGUCCCAUAACUUGCCUGCAAAUUCAAUGGACCAUAUGGUUGAUCAUCAUCAUCAAGCCAAUAUUGGAGGCUCUCUGUGGUCUUGCUAAGCUAAACUAGUUAACCUAGGAUGCCAAAUUGCGAUCACUUUUUUUUUAGUUAUUUAUAAUUAACUAUAAUGAACUUGCUUUAUUGCUGCUACAUGCUUCUUUUUCUUUUGUCUUUACAUCUUUAUUUAUAAGUAUAGCAUUAUCAGUCAUCAUAUGUCAUCUCUGAACUUGACCUAUAGAUGAUGAUGAUGAUGAUGAUCAUUAACCAUAUUGUAAAUAAUAUACCUGAUAUUAUAUAUAUAUAAUAUCAUAUGUUUUUCCUAUUUAAUGUUAAAUUACAAUCUAUUGAGAUUAAUUUACAUUAAAAAACUACAGGACUUUGGAUUUGUUUCUUAUUGAGGUUUUGUGAAAAAUUAACUCAAUAGACACUUUAAGAGUUGUAUAUUUUAAAUUGUAACUGCUCAGACACUUUAGGUUUUUGAGGUUUCAUUAGCUAUGUAGCUUUGAUGUUUGUGCUCCAAACCAACCCCAACCGCCCUAGAUGAUGAUGAUCAUUCACCACAUCGAAAAUAAUAUAAUUGAUUUUAAUAUCAAUUAUAAUGAGUUAUCAUAUGUAUUUAAUUACUUGAAGAGGAUUUGCAUUUAGCACAUCUAAUUAAUGAGAAUCAAUUGAGAAUUUGACUCAAUCUCUAAACUUUUUGGGUGGUUGAGCUAGCUGCUUCUUGUGCCCCACAUUUCCAUCGUUCUAUGUUGUUAGAACGUAUGAAAAUAACAUCACAACAAAUGAAUGUUUUUGGAUGGAAAACUAAAGUUCAACUACUGCCUACUUUCUCUUUUCAUCAUAAGUUCACCCCAGGAAAAAGUAGUAAUGAAAAUGGACUAUCUGAAUGGUUCAAAUGUUAUUGUUCAAUCAAAAUAUGCUUUAGAAAUUAAAGAAAAUUAGGCAUGAUAUGGGAAGUUCCCCUCCACCCCCAAUAAUAAUAAUAAGUAAAAAAGAGUAUCACAGUUACAAACUAGCCCAUAUGUUACGUUUUCGACUUACAGUUAGCUCAAUAAUUUUAUGCAUAUGCAUAUUCAGCAAAAUAUCAUUACGUACAAUUUACGUCAAAUAUGCAUGUACAGUGAUUCAAGACUGAGUCAGAGAUCUCAAAAGAAAUUAUCUUUGGUUUAGAGUGUAAAUCAUCUUUAGAUUUUUUUAUUUUGCUUUGUUUUUCUUUUGAAUCACCCUAUAAUACCCAGAGUUUACAAUCUUCGGGUUAGGUGGAAAACUAGUGGCUCUCAAUUUUGCCAAGUCGAUACCUAAAUGAUAUCAAACCUCAAAACUCAUAGAAGCAUACAACAAGUGUUAUUGUUCACCAUGUGUUAUCAUCGGAUCAAUUUCCAUCUCUCACAUCACUAGUCAAUAUACAUUGACUUUAGUUUUAAGAGAUCCAAAAACAUUUGUAAGCUACUGGCAGCUCUGAAACUAGCUUACUUUAUGCAGGUUUUAAGGUUCCAAGUCACAAAGUAGUACCACUAACCUGGGAAUAACUAAUUGUUUUUUGCCAUCUUCACGGAUAGAUGAAGCUCUUAAUGAUGUCAGUUGAGUACUCCACAUUACAACGAUUCCUUUAACUUCACGGCCGUGGGAUAGAGGCAUUCGAUUUUGUUCAUGGAAUGCCAACAUUUGUUUAGGAACUAUUACAUGAGGUAAGAGUUCAGUAUUAACACUGAAAACUAAUGACAAUCACAAAGUUAAGAAACAACAGAAAAAAUGAUAGUUUAAAUGGUUAAAUACGAUAUCAAUGGUUGGGAAGUUCCAAUUGAAUUUAGAAGUCAAUUACUUGCUAUAUUUGACAUACAUAAAUAUAAAACUAAACUAUUUAAGUUAAAAUAUGAAGUUGAACACACGGGCUCCUAGCCUUUCCAUGUAUUGUCUUAAUGUUUGACAUUGAAUUAUGGAUAUCCAAUUGAAUUUUAUAAAAAGCACAAAAAAUAAAUAAAUAAAAUAAAAUAAAAUAUUGACAGUAAAAAUUUGUAGAAUGAACAUGUUUAGUUAAGUGGAAAAACAGAAAGAGAAUUAUUGGAAGAAAGAAGUGUGAAGAUGAAAAACGAUCGUCAAGGUUUAACAUACCUUUUGCUUGGCCUUAUGAAGUCGAUCAGGAUCAUCAUCCUUUUAUAUGUACGUCAGUAUGGCUUUAUAGCAUAAUGGUGGGUGGAGAAUCCCCUCAAUCCUCUCAAGUCUCGACAAGAAACCUAUGUUUUGGCCAUUGUCUAUAAAUUAAUUUGAAUUAAAAUCAGGCACUACAAUUGACUGUGUCCCAUUUUCAAACUCAAUUCAAACUAGUUAACGCUCUUCAAUCCCCUUUUCUUUAUAGAAAAAGACAAAAAAGAAAAAGGAACAUUGAUAAGUGGCCCACCCAUGACUCAUGAAGUUUAUGUAUCAUGAUGGAAAAAAUCACCUAUCUAAACCACUCAGAUAGGCAGAGCCACACACGUCGAGUCGCUGAUAAUAUUUUGGCAGUUUCCAUACUUCAUCUACAUGAUGAAACAAUUAUAAAAAGUUAGCAAAUAAUGAAAAACAAAAAUUUCAUAUCAAUUAUUGAUUACAAGAGCACCCGAAAACAUGGACAAAUCAUUUUUUAACGUUUGAAGCGUUCUUUGUUUCCUAUCAUAUCAAGAUUUUGUAUUACAUUACUUUGGCCAGUGAAAUACCACCUUAGGUUCCAUGAAAAUAAUACUAGCUAUACCUCUACCAGAACAAUGUUUAGAUAUACUUGCCAAGAAGAAUAGUAAGAAAUUUGAAGUUUAGCUCAAGAAAAUAGCUUAGCCACCUAUAAAUCUUUGCAUGGAAUAUUGCGAUUGCAAAAAUAACAAUCUUUAAGAAAAAUAUUAUUUUUGUAGCAAUCAUUAUCUCAGGUCUGCACUUUAAAAAAUUUGCAAUUACUAUCAGGGUAAAUCAGUAAACAGGAAAUCAUAAAGAAAUAUUUUAAUCAUAGUUGUAUAGUAAAGUACUUUUUAAAUUCACCAUGAGUAGGACACUGAUAGCUUGUUUACUAUGCAAAAGGAAGGCACAACAAUCCUUGUAGCCAAAUAACUAAACAACAAUUAUACGAUUUUUCUUUAAUGCCAAACCUUUUAAGAAAGUAAACAUGAUUUUUUAAGAAACUAAAAUUUUAUUCCCUUGAAUUGAAAUCAGAAUCCAAUGAUAACAAUGAACGUGUGAAAAUGAGGUUGAAAAAACAUAUAAGGUUUAAACCUAUAGUGUCUCAUUACAACUAAUAUUGAUGUCUAAGCAGUACGGCGGUGUAAGUACAUCAUUGAGUGGCAUGAUAAAUCCUGCUAUAUCUUAAAGUAGAUGAUUCACCACAGAUUUUUGGUCCAUUUAACCAGUUAGCAUACAACUUAAUUCUGAUGUUGCAAUCUCCUGGUUUUCUCAGUGCCAUAUUCCAAUGAUGAAAUAAUAUAAUUAUCAGCUUCUACCUCUUGAUUGACAUUUUAUCAAGGGUCAAAAAUCCACAUCUCCCUUUCCCAGGUAGCUACGUAAAAGAGUUGAGCAUGUCACGGUAUCACGUUCCAUUUCUCUAUCAAUCAUUUCAUCAUUGCAACUUGAAAGAUGUUUGCCUUACAAAGCCUUGAAAUCAGAACAAUAAAAAGUACAACACCUGGUCUUAUUCCCAUUUCCAUAAUCUCCUUCCAAAAUACUAAAGCAUGCAUAGAAGAAAUUUUUUAAUCUAUUUUUAAAUGAGCAUUGACUAAAAAAGUGCAAAGAACAACGCACUACACCUACUAUAAUUAUUCCCAGCCGCGUUNNNNNNNNNNNNNNNNNNNNNNNNNNNNNNNNNNNNNNNNNNNNNNNNNNNNNNNNNNNNNNNNNNNNNNNNNNNNNNNNNNNNNNNNNNNNNNNNNNNNNNNNNNNNNNNNNNNNNNNNNNNNNNNNNNNNNNNNNNNNNNNNNNNNNNNNNNNNNNNNNNNNNNNNNNNNNNNNNNNNNNNNNNNNNNNNNNNNNNNNNNNNNNNNNNNNNNNNNNNNNNNNNNNNNNNNNNNNNNNNNNNNNNNNNNNNNNNNNNNNNNNNNNNNNNNNNNNNNNNNNNNNNNNNNNNNNNNNNNNNNNNNNNNNNNNNNNNNNNNNNNNNNNNNNNNNNNGAUUUAAUAUCUUCCUUUCUGUUACACGAUUUUGUUGAGGGAUCUUGGAACUAUCAAAGGGCGUCCAAUUCCAUUUGCUUCACUAAAUUCUAUGAAUUCUUUGGAAGUGAAAUUUUCGCUUCGAUCAUAUCUCAUGGCUUUAAUUUGGCAUCCACUUUCUUUUUCCACUGCAGCUUUAAGUUUCUUAAAAGCUUAAAAAACUUCUGACUUUUGCUUCAAAAAAUGCACUCAAAUUUUUCUUGAAGAAUUAUCUAUGAAGAGAAGGAAGUAAUUACUUUUACCAAGGGAGUUUAACUUGAAUGGAUCGCGCACAUCAGUAUGAAUAAGCUCGAGUGGCUUUCGAGCUCUUGAGUUUAACUCCUUUGGAAAGCACUUUCUGAAUUGCUUGCCAAGUAAACAUACUCACAAAGUCGAUUAUGAUGAUUAAUUGAAGGCAUGCCUUUUACCAUGUUCUUCUUUGAUAGUAACUCUAGUUCACCAACUGACCAAAAUUGAGAUAUCCAUAUCGAAGAUGCCAAAUCCAAGAUGGAUAUUUGCGACAAGCCUUGAGACACUUUGCAACAUCAUUAUGAAAUAUUCUAUUCUUCAACAUUUUCGCCUUUGCUAUUAGGUUUUCUUUGUCAUCUCUUAGGAAAAAACUAUAAUUUUUUAAGUGAAUAUUGUUGUGAUAAAUUCAAAUGCUAUGAGUGUCAGUGUGUAAGUGUACAACAACAAGUAAUAUAAUAAUAAGUAUUCAAGAUCAUCUCUACAAUGAUUGAUGUUAUCAAAUUUGCUACAGCAAUCUGUAACAAUGCAUUAGUUGUUCUAAAUUAAAAUAUGAAAAUUAAUGUAACUAAACAACUAACUAAAAUAUAACAUGCAAUAAUUAAAAAUGUAACAAAUAAAAUUCUCACGCCAAACACAAGAGUAAAACCAAUGGGAAUGAAGUAAUUGAGUGAUUAAACUCUCUUAAUGGUUUUGACUAUUUCUUCAAAUCUUAGGCACGACUCUAUUUACCCUACAAGAUAAAUCUCUAUAUCUAGUUCAUCACUAAUUUUAGAUUAAGUAUAACCUUUUUGGAAUCAAGUGAAACUCAACUUAGGAAACUCAAUCUAAAACCAAGUAUUGAUUUGAUAUGUUCCACUAAGAUAUGUCAUUUUGUGGCUCUUUCUUAACUUGUAUCAUUAAAUGGGUAGUCAGCCGAAAUAAUGAAUAGAAUAAGUUUUACCAAAACAAAAUGUUAUAGCAAACAUACAGCAACAUAUAAAUUUAGUCAAAAAACCAUUAAGAUUUUUUAUCACUCAACUACAAUUAAAUUAAUUUAUAAUCUGCGAAAGUAAAAUAAAAAAAAAGAGUUUUAGCCAUCAAAUUGAUAAGGAAAAGGAUGAUAAGGAAAGAACUCAAUCAUUGGAAAAUCAUGAAGAUCAAUUUACGGAAAGAACUCAAUCAUUGGAAAAUCAUGGAGAUUAAUUUGCGGAAUGCAGAGCACUAUCAAAGGGAUUUCCAACGUCUAGAUUAUCUCUAUAGAAUAUCUUCAAUGAUUUAAUUCUUUUAUAAAUAUUCCUUUUAUGCUAGCUGUACAUAAAUGACAUGCAUUAGUGGCUGUGAUUUGGCCAUUAGUUAGGACAGCAAUAGCUUAAGUUUAGGCCACUUGCUCUUUUAAUCUCACGUACUGUCUUGUAUAAAUUUAUGGUUUCAGUUUCAAUAAAGGUUAACCAAUUCUCUCACGCUUCAAUUUCUUUACAAAUACACCCCCGUGAUUAAAGAGUAAACAAGACAACAAGAGAAGAAUAAGAAGGACUGAAUUCCAAUUGACUUCUGUAAAUUCUCAUUUGAUACAACUUUAAUUCUUGCUUUUGAAAUCUAUUUUGUCCUUGUUUACUUUCAGUUUUUGUUCUUGGUUGACGGCCCCUUUCUUCUCCUUUACUUGUGUGCUUCUUUUAUACCUAAAAAUAUGGUAAAUUGAAGUUUAGGGUACGCAUCUUCAAAAUUAGGAAACUCCAUAUCACAAUCUGCUAAGUGUCUCACGUGAAAUAUUUUCUGUCAAUGCUCCAGGAUUGCCACAACAAUGGCUACAACAUCUACACUGUUCCAGACUUACUUUAAUUCUUUUGCAGUCAUGUUCUUUUGUUCUUUUUGCAAGCCCAUUACAACAACAUCUUUCAUUGAAAUUCGAGCUUCCAAUUACCUACAAUUAUGCAUAAGAUUUAAGCACACAAUUAUUCAAAUUCAAACAAACUUCAUUAAAAUUAAAUUAAAAUGGAUGUUGAUGCAAACUAUUAUUAAAUGCAACAAAACACAUCAUUUACUGUCUAAGUAAUCUUGAUUUAAAUUUAAAAGUGGCUUGAUAACUCUUUUUAUCAAAUAUCAUAGUUUUUUUUAAGAGUUGACCCAAACCGAGAAUGUUACUUUUUAUAUUGGCCACAUAAUAAACAUUUGAAAUUAUUUUGUAGCUAUCAUCUUUUGCACGAAAAAGAAUGUUACCUUUGCCCUUUACUUGUACUUUUGAAUCACUUUUAAAAACGACAUUGUCAUUUACAGAUUCAUUUAGUUCCACGAACAUGCUUUUGUUUCCGUUUAUAUGAUUGCUAGCACCUGUGUCAAAAUACCAUGUAUUUUCUUGACCUCUACUGAUGUCAUUACGUCCUAGUAAAAGCGUAUCAUAUUCACCAUUCUUCUCUUUAACAUAAUUCAAUCUCUUACCAAUUCUGGUACUUAGAGCUCUUUGCAUAAUUCAUUCAUAUACAAAUUAAUUAAAACCAUCCUCCAUAUCUCUGUCUCCGCGAUCCAAGAGAAUACAAAACAUGUCCAAAUGUGGAACUAACGGUUCAGGUAACUUAUUUGUAGACUCAAAAAAUAUAAAAUUUUAUAUAGGUAACAUUUGUAACUUAAACACGUCAAAAUUGAUUUUUAAUUUUUUUUUCUUUCACAACCUUUCGGUAACCUUUGCUGAAUCAAUGAAAAUAAAAUUAAAAGAGAUUAAUAGAGCUUACAAAUCAAAGGGUAUAGAGAACCACGCCCCGAAAAAUCCAACAAAAGUUAAAAGAAAUUAAUGGAGUUCGCAAAUCUAGUAACUGUAAGUUAUACAUUGACAUUUUAUUCCAAAUUUUACAUGAAGACUCGGGCACUUACUGUAGCUUAAUUUCAACCACAACAGUACAAUCUAAAUAGCCAUAAAAUUCAUGUAGACACAUCCACAUUGAGAAAAGUACAGACUUCACGAAUUGAGACCAUAGAUUUACAAUAUUGUAUUCUCCAGUAUUAUAAAUUAGGUAUGGUUCCAUUUCAAGCUUGCUUUUUACAAGAUAAGGGCUUUCAUUUUUAUAUAGCAGAGAAAAUUUCAUACUCAAAUUAUUUAUGAUAACCCAAAUCUCAAUUCUUCUAAAAGAAAAUAGGAUGGUCGAUGAAUCUCUUGAUCUCUCGAUCUAUAAAUGACCACCUACACGUGCAAGUUGCAAAAGAUGAUCUUAAUUACAUAAUUAAUUUGGGAACUGCUUGUUUAGCUUCAUGCGAAGAAGACAAUAGCUAAGUUAACGUGAGUGGGCUCACUGAUUUAGCAUUUUGUGACUUUUUCUUUAACGUGAGUGGGCUCACUGAUUUAGCAUUUUCUGACUUUUUCUGCUAUAUUUUAUAUGAAAGCUUGAUCCAUUUAUAUAUUACUAGAUUGGUUAUGAUGCUUCUUUGACAACGAAAUAAAUCAAAAUUAAUCUUGAACAACUUAUUUAGAAUUGUGCAUGCACUAUAAUCAGUGGAGCUAAAUUAAUGAAUAAUAUUUAUCAAUGUCAAAGCACUCGCUCUCGCUGAUGUUACCUGCCUGCCCCGAAGUAUCGAUCAUUCAAUAUUUAUAUUAAAUGAAAAUAAAAUCAAAUAAAAUUCAAGACUCAUUUCGAAAUCAAAGGAUAUAAAUUCUCCAAUCAAAGCGUUAGUUCGUGUGUUACUUUUGUAAAUAUGAUUCAUAUCUUUUCACCAGGAUGUGUAUCUUAUCACUUGGAACAAAUUUAAUUAGUAUUACGGUUUAAUUUAUACUUUUAGUUUAUUUAUUUAUUAUUAUUAUGUUUUUGUUUUUUGCUCAUACUCCGCCUGCAUGUAAAGUUAUCGGCAAGAUCUAACCGUGGAUAUAAAUAACAUUAAUUAAAAGAAUAAAGCACUCAAUUUUCGUAAUUUUUUAUUUUAUAAUUGUGGCUAGCACGCAAUGAAUACACGACGUUAAAGUGAUUUUUGAAUGAAAUACAGAACGCUAGGUUUAAGGUAAUCUUAAAAUAUUUAACAUAGGAUUACUCUAUAUAUAUAUAUAUAUAUGAAAACAAAAGUUUACCAUCAACCACUUGACCUUAAUGGACGGAGACUAACCAGUAUUGAUCCUAAUCAAGUCAUGAUGUAUUAAUUAAGAUUUCACUAAUGUGAUAAAGCCUCCUUAUGCUCAAUUCUUGACCAUAGAAGUCAAAUCGAUAUUUUUCUUUUUUUAUGUAUUUUUAAUCAAUUCUUCAUAUCAUCGUAUGACUUUUAUGUCAGGGGAGAAUUAUGUACCAACAAUUUUAUUUUAAUUGAAAGGAUCAAGAUCCAUAUUAAAUUCUUAUUUUGUUUUACAAAGAAUCACUAUCAUAAAAUUAUUUGGUACAAUUUUACAAAGUAGAAUCAUUAUCAUAACAGCUUGCAAAUCUAAUAAACAAAAACGUCAAAAACAAUGAAAUUAAAAAAAGAAAGAGCCGGUCUUUGGCUGAGUUUGGAGGGCAGCAGUUUAAAUCUCCACACGCGAAAUGUGGGGAUAUUUUCUUUCUUAAUUAUAUUGUAUAAUUGAGUAGAGGUAGUCUUCUCCCUUACCCAAGUGUGAGUAGAGUAAAAUCUGAACAAAGUUCCAUAAGUAUUGAUGUAAGUUGGUCUCAGUAAUAGUUUAAUUUGUAAAUAUCAGUUAUAGACUCAUAUAAUAUGAGUUGUAGUUUGAGAAAUAGUCUCAUGUAAUAAAACAAAAACAAAAAAGAAGAAAGAGAAUUAUUUAUAAAUUUCAAACUUAAGUUGGUUAAAAGAAGCAACCCAAUUCAAUAUUCUUUUAUUCCCUAUCCAAUACAAUAACAAAUGUAGUUAGAAACAUAAUGAAGCUACUAGAUUGGUACCAACCUCAAAGUAAUCUAAUUAAUUUAAAGAUUACUUAAGAAUUCUCUAAUUAAACGUUAAGAGAAAAAAAGGGGGGAAAAAUAUCAAAUUGAGGUGGGCCAAAAGAUCUCAAAAACAACGAUGUUUUUGUCAGCAAAAUCUAGUGGCUCUUCUUUGGUGGAACCCUCUAAAGAUUCUCUGUUAGCAUCAUAUAUUUUUUCCACUCUAUAUAACACCCACCACUCUAAUUUUUCAAGCCCCCUUCUCUUCUAGCUUUCUAGCUAUUUUGUUCAUUUGUUAUCUCCUUUCUUGUUGUUUUUUUUAUUAUUGCGAUUGCUCAAUAUAAGCCAAAGUAAUAUUUGUGUAUAUAUUUAUUUGUUAGAAUUUUUUUGAUUAUGGAGAGUGGAACGAGGCAAGGAGCAUUGUCACCAUGCGCAGCAUGCAAGCUUAUUAGAAGGAGAUGCGCCCAAGACUGUGUCUUUGCUCCAUAUUUUCCAGCUGACGAGCCGCAGAAAUUUGCCAGUGUACAUAAGGUCUUCGGUGCCAGCAAUGUUAACAAGAUGUUACAGGUUCCAUUUCCGUGCUCUCUCUUUGUCAGAUCCUAGGGUUUCUUUAACAGUAUACUCUCUUAAUUCUUUUUUCAUGGAAAAGAUAGGCUACAGCUGUUUUUGGAUACCUAAUGAAUGUAUCCAUUUUUUGGUUCUUUUAUAUUUUUUAUAUUUUGUUUUUCACAUAUUGGAAUUAGGUCUACAUUUGAGUAACUUUUAUUUAGUUCGUAUCUUCCUAUUUUAACAAAUACGAACUUAAUUACCCUUGCAUUUAUGGUGCUGCAGGUGUAAUAUAAUUAAUAUUGUAUAUGUACGAUCAUAUAGUUCAAAUUUAAUGUUUUGAUAUGUACAUAUAAUUCACUUAAUUAAACUCACAUUGAGAAACAUUAAAUUUAUUUUCAGCAUGAUCUUCAAAUUGUAGAAAUGCAAAUUAAUAAUCCGAUUACCAAGGAGGGGAUGAAAUUUAAGAAGAUAGGGCAAUAGUAGUUAUAGUGGAAAAUUGUCUUUAAAUAAUGGUGUUUAAAAAUGAUAUAGAUAUGUCACGCAUAGUUUUGAGAAAUUGAAAUAAGAGAGGGUUCAAAUUUUAAGUAUUGAUCAAACGAAAAUUUUUCUAUUUAGAGGCUGAUAUCACUCGUUUAGUCAUUUCGAUUUAUCAGAAUAUGCAUUAUUUUUAGGAAAAUAAAUAUUUUAUAUAUUACAAUAUGUAUUUUUUUUUAUAUUAGCGUUAUUGAAUUUCUAUAAACUAAUUACUUAUGUAAUUAGUGUUCAUCAAAAGCGACGUUUUCAUUUCUUUUUUUCAGCUGUUAUGACUAUUACGGUGAUUUGUUUUACUGUUAUAGGUUAUAAAAAUAAAUAUAUUGAGUUGACUAAGGUAGCGUUUAUUUUUUUGUCUGAAAUCUAAAUGAGUCUAAAUUUUUCUAAAGUUUGAAUGGGUAUAUAUACAAAAAUCUAAACGACAUGUUUGUUUUUUUAUUUUAAAUAUCUAAAUAUACGUGGCAUCUUGUUUGUUUUUACAAUAAAAAACAUCUUAAACUUGGUUAUUUGACAUUUAUGUCCUUGUAAAUUAAAAUAAAAAAAGAGGAUUAGAUUUUAUAAUUUAUGAAAUAAGUUAUUUUACAGAGAUAUUUUUGGAAUACAAUAUUUACUUGUCAUUCAAACUUUUUUUCAUUCAGAUAAAAGUCACAAAAGUUUACUUUUUCUAUUCAGAUGUAAAUGUCUGAAAAUCAUACAUAAGUUCCAAAAAAUAAACAAGCAUAUUUUAGAAAAUGUCCGAAAUCAAUAAAAUUUCAGACUUCAGAUAUUUAACAAUCAACCUCUAAGAUUCUAGUUCUUCUUUUCAAAAGCAGGCUGUUAAUAAUCUUAUACUAAGUUCUUUUAUUUUUUUUCUUUCUUUUUAGUUGAUUGUAAGUGAAAGCAAAGAGAGUAAUUAAAGAUGAUAAAUUAACUACUUUAGUUACCACUUGAGACCUUGUCAACAAUUUAAUAUAUCCUCAGCAUGGAAAAUGGAUUAAAAUUUAUAUGGGGUUUCCGCCUGCUCUUUUUGACCACUUUUUCGAAACUGGUCCAAAAAAUGCUUCAUUCAAAGUGAUUUUGGGAAAAGAAAGCCUGAAGCAUGCUCUGAUGAAUCAUCUGUGCUUUCUACUUUAUGAACGUAGAGAAUACUUUUUUUUUUUUGUUUGAAGGUGGUCUUAAGUGGGCCUUAAUUGUGGGAAGUAUUUUUAAACCUGUACCACAACUCAGACUAAUCUCUACUCGCACCGAGUCUACCUGUAAGGGUAAAGUAUUGGCCAAAGUGGUGACUCCAUACGAGAGCUGGGCUUGAACCCCUGACCUCUAACAUAGAGGAUACUUUGAUAGUGACUUUGUUCACCAAAAAGAGAAUUGAUUGAUGUUAACAAAGUAUAAAGCUAAAAUAUAAUUAUCACUAAACACCGAUUAGAGUUACCUAAGCAUGACAUCACCUUGACCUAUGCAAUUAUACCAUUAGUUUGUUGAUUAACUAGGUUCGAUUAAUUCUUUUAGCUGGGUCAUGAAGAUUGAUUGAUUAUUAAUUAGCUUUUUUUUUCCAAUUAUAUGCUUAAGUAAAGUGCUUGUUCUAAAAUACCUUAAUAAUAGCUUUUCUAAAAAAAAAGAACUUUGAGAUAUGACAAGUAUUCAAACACUAAGCUAAUAUAUAUAAUUUAUUGAAUUCAUUAUCAGAAUAUGUUUGAGAUUGAGGUUAUCAUAUAAAAAUGGUAGACAACUUAAUUUAACAUUAGUUAUCAAGUAAAAGGCGAUGUUUACCCAACACUUAACUGUUGUCACUAACAAAACCACAAAACCAUGGUGAGAUGAGGUGGAUACUCCAACUAGGGUUUGAAAUUUUUUUAUGUAUAAUAUCACAGCAACUCCAACUGAGAUUUGAAAAUUUUUUGUGUAUCACAACAACUCUUGCGAUCUCAAAAUGCAUUGCUGAUUUUUUUAAUUUUUAGAAUUGCCUCAUUAGAAAUCUCACUGUUUCACUUAUAUUUUUAAUUUGAACUUUUCUUAGUCAAUCUAAGUUCUUGGAUCUUGGCUAUCAUAUUUUCAAACUUCAGCUGAAACAUAAUCGUUGAUAAAACACAAUCUUAAUUUUUAAUUACUUUCAAGUUCUUCUAAGAGGGAGAUUGAAAUUCACAAUAAUUAAGUUUAAAUUAUAUUAAUUAUUGUAGAAUAUACAAAGAUGUUAGAACUUGUAUUUUUUUUUUUUGAAUUACCUCAUUUGUGUUAAUGAAUUUUUUAAGACCUAAUGAGCCCUUGUACUCUCCUAGCAAAGAAGUAACCUCUCUAAUCGUUUGCAUGUAAAAACAUGCAGGAACUGCAGGAGCACCAACGCAGUGAAGCAGUGAGUUCAAUGGUAUAUGAAGCCAAUGCUAGGUUUCAUGACCCGGUUCGCGGUUGUGUUGGCGCCAUAUCAUCUUUGCAGCAACAAGUAGAGUCACUGCAAGCCCAGUUGGCUUUAGCACAAGCCGAAGUGGAGCAAAUGAGAAUGCGCCUAAUCUCACCUUCAUCAUCAUCAUCCCAUAACUAGCCAGCAAAUUCAAUGGACCAUAUGGUUGAUCAUCAUCAUCAAGCCAAUAAAGGAGGCUUUCUGUGGUCUUGCUAAGCUAAACUAGUUAACCUAUGUUGCCAAAUCGCCAUCACUUUUUUUUCUUUUUUAUUAUUAUUUAUAAUUAACUGUAAUGAGCUUGCUUUAUUUUCUGCUACACGCUUCAUUUUUCUUUUAUCUUUACAUCUUUAUUUACAAGUAUAGCCUUAUCAGUUAUCAUAUGUCAUCUGUGAACUUGACCUGAAGAUGAUGAUGAUGAUCGUUAACCAUAUUGUAAAUAAUAUACCUAUAUAUAUAAUAUCAUCUGUUUUUCCU
Molecule: long non-coding RNA, 13305 nt
Filed under: Citrus x clementina
Lineage: Eukaryota; Viridiplantae; Streptophyta; Magnoliopsida; Sapindales; Rutaceae
Description: Citrus clementina (C. clementina) long non-coding RNA (CCLE_LNC000635)
Source: RNAcentral